Long non-coding RNA from Columba livia (rock pigeon), 18148 nucleotides. RefSeq lists it as uncharacterized. NCBI's taxonomy places the organism in Eukaryota, Metazoa, Chordata, Aves, Columbiformes, Columbidae. The record is from RefSeq and is a predicted model, not a curated record. The transcript has 15 exons.
CGGUCGGUAGGGGGAACUGUUGCACUCCCUAUAGACAGUAAAAAUGCGUUUAUUUUCACGUCACGUUAAAUAUCUAUGUCAAUUCUUGGAACAAUUGACAGUCAGGAAGUUUUUUAAUAAUAUCAAAGUUAUUUGUGUGUUUUACUGGAAUAUACAUGGAUAUAAUGAGGUGAUGGGCGUCUAACUCCCUUUUAUGUUUUUUAAAGGUAUAAAAGUCUCUUUGUCCUGUGCUGGGCUUUUCUGAAAUGCCUUUUUAUUUCAGAAGUGACUAAGCCUUGCUGGAAAGUGACAGAGAAGGGGCAGAGCUCCCAGAAAGGCAGGAGGAGUCGGCAGAGCGGCCCCAGGGCUGCUGGGGGAGCUGAGAGGAGGUUCUGGAAAGGCAGCAGGAGUCUGGGGCCACCUCACAAUGGAUGGCCACCACCCCCCAUGCCAGCUGGUGAAGGAAGAGUGGCGAUGGAGAAAGGCUAGUCUAGCUGCAGGACCCUGAUUCAGAUCAGUGCAGAGGUGAGCAAGAGAUUAGACAGAAAGGGGGGUUUUUUGAAUGCUAGGUUCACAAAGGAAACACCUGGGGACCCUGGCACCUGGGACAGAAAGAACUGUUGAGUCAUGUGGAAGGCACUAACUACAUAUAUAGUGGCAUGAUGCAUCAGCUUGGGUGAGUUGGUCAAAAGUGUGACUUGAGUCAACUCAAGUGGACAAGUCAAACUGGAAGGAUUGAAGUAGCAGUUUUUAACUAAGUGGCAUGUCAAAUAAUCCUCAGAGUUUAUUCUUUCAACCAUUUCAUUAGAUUCCUGCCAGCAGGCUAAAUGGUAGGGAGCUGAAAGAGAUCGAUAGAAAAAGUCUCUUGGUGCAACAUUCUUAAGCAAAGUCCUCAGAGUGCUAUUUUUAGCUAAGAGUCGCAGACUUUCUGUAAAAUCUAGAUGAGCUUGUUCUUUUCCUUGUCUUUACCGCUAGUGUCAUCCCUUCUGACUGAUGUUUUAGGGAAUAAAAAUGCUACUUCUUUUUUUUUUUUUUUUCCCACUAGACAUAAAAUGUCAUAGCAUUAACACCUAUACAGAAAUUAAUAGUAUCUGCUCUGAGGGAAGAGGAAUUUUAAGAAUAACCAAGACCAGUCCAUGGUCUUGUGAUUUAUGCAAUUCUCAGUGCUAGGUUUGACAUCAUCCAUCUUUAUCUCUGUAAACUCUUACCAAGUGUCCAGACAGUGGUGGAUUAUUUCACCCUUAUAGGAUACAAUUUUGAAUACUGCUGGAGGCCAAUUCUGAAUUUAAUUUUGAAGUGGAAAGUCAAAGACAAUUUUGGUUCCUGCACUUGUGGAAGGUCAAAUCUCCAUUUUCUCCAUUUUCCAGAAUUUAAGCUACAUGGAAGGGAUCUCUGUCCCUCUGUUGUUGCAAAUAUGCUAUUUUAAGUCAAGAAAUUUUGGGCCAGAGAGCAGAAAGGUGACUUUUUUAUCUUGCUGUUUUAUAUACUGGUCUGUGCACGUGUUUUGGAUGACCUCUCUCUGUUAAACAUCAUUGAACAAAAUAUGAACAAGUAGAAGACAGAUGUGUAAUCUUAAAUAUUUCCUCUUUCAGGUAAGCAUCCUAAUUAUAAAUUUUAUGUUUUCUUCAUGAUGUUCUCCAAGCAGAUUGUAUCUUCUUUUCCAUGUGCUGGCAGCUCUUGAAUACAGAGGGUGGAGAAUGCCUCUGUCAAUGCUCCCUUUUCCCCUUAAUCACUUUGAAACUCACAGUGAAGUGUUGACCUUCCCAUUUCUGGGAAGAAGGAGGUUUCUGUGCUGACCUCGGACUUAGGUAUUUUCUUAUAUACGCUUUGGUCCUUUUCUAUGCAUACCUACGUUGUGCUUAAACCUACAAGAUUAGCAGGAUAAAUAUUUCUUCCCCUGUUAAGUGUGAUGGAUGUUCCCUGCCUUGGCUGAGAAUUAAUGAAAUUUAUUAAUAUUUCUAAACUGUGUUUCACAAUUGCUUUAUCCUGGGAACCUGGGAUAAAGACUGCAAAAUAGGAUCAAAGAUUUGGGGAAUCAAAAAGAAUCAUUAGUUUUCUGAAAUCUCCUGCAGAUCAUGAAAAUAUAAGAUGUCUCAUGUCAGAGAUACUAACUCAGUGGUAAAAACGUAAGGCUUGUAAGAUUUAAAAAGUAGGAAGAUCUUGUGGGCAAAUGAUAGACCAGGACUGAAGAGAACCAUCCUGGUUCUUUUAUGGACUUCCUGAGUGACCUUGAAGAAAAUCAUGCAGUACUUCAAUAUUCCAUCAGGAGCGUUUCCUUUCUCCCUUGCCUUGUCCAUUUAGGUGGCUGCGAGCUCAGGGCUCUCAGUGUAUAUUAGGCAAGUUCACUCAGUAUGCCUUUACAGUGACACAGUGGAGUCCUGAUCACUUUGUUUCUGCAUUGUGAAUAACCAUUAAGCAACAAGCAUAAGUUUGGGAUUUGAAUUUUUUCCCUAGAACACUGGCUUCUGUGAGCUCCCGGUACUGAACAGCAGAUUCUGUGUAAAGCCACACAGGUACCGAUCUCUGGCAGACAUCAAAUAGCUGCAUUCUUUCCACAUAAUUUCAGAAGCUAUAAAUAUAAGAAAAACCAACAAAGAGCCCAAAUCAGAAAAACCUGCUUCCCUUCUUCCUCUCUACCAGAAGUAUGAAGCUUGGGUUCUGACAGAUACCUGGAACAGAGCACAGCAUUGAUAAAUAGGGGCAGAUUUGCAGUGGAACAUUGCAUGUUCACUCUUGUCAAUAAUCUUGCUUGGAUGUUAUUUUAAAAAAUAUCUUUAAAUAAUAUGGAAAUUAUAUUUGUUCUUGCUUACAUUCUUAAAUUGAUACCAUCAGCAUGAUCUCCAGUGUGACUUACUGAUUCCUGGAUGAUUUAACCAUUGUUAAUAUACCAUUAUUUAAGAUGACUAGGGUUCUGAGAGUGAAACACAAAACUUUGUUAUAUACUAUUGUGUAUUAAUGUUGGUAUAGGGGGGACAAAAAACCCAACAAAUUAAAAUCUUUUCCAUUAAAAGAUUUUGAGGCACUACAUUUGCUGAUGCCUUGCCCAACAACUGCAUAUUUUGGGUGGUUUUUUCCAUUACUUAAUGUGAGGAUGAUGGAUUCUAUAUUUUUUUUCCUUGCAACCAUCUCCAGCUGAAAUGACUAGAAAUGUUCUCUGUUAUAUCAGUGGGGAUACUGAAAAAAUUUUUAACUGGUGUCAUCAGAUUUAAAAAGAGAGCACAUGAGAAUGAAAAAUAUUACAAGCAGAGAUUCAAGAAACGAAAUUCUUCUAUCUUGUGUUUGUUGUCACUGGUUUUUGGGUUGUGUUUGUUUUUAUUUUUUUUUCAAUGAUCAUACAAAAAAAAGUUGGAGUGAUUUUGAUUUUUUAACUUUUAUGUUGGUGCUGUUUAACUGGUUUUGUAAUUAUAUACUGCAAGGUAAAUCCAAUAGGUGUUUUACCGAUUUAAAACAGUGUGAUUAUUGUUAAAAGCUUAAUAUACUAAUGCUCCUUGCCAUAUCUGGCAGGGCAGUGAGGACAUUAUCCCAACAAUAGCCUGCCAAUUUUUCGUUAGAUACGAGGUUUUUGUGGGGGUCAGUCCAUCAUCCUACUUUACCACAGUUCAUCUAGAAGGCUUUGCAGAUAAACAAAACCUCGAAGUGGACUGUUCAGUGGGAAAAGUUGUGUAUAAUUUUUAUACAAUACAUGACCUUUAAAGGUCUACUUUAGAAGUGGAGCAGAGAAAUAAUCACUAAGAAAAAUUUAUUUUGGCACCAUGAAGAGAAGCGGUGUUGAUACUUGCUGAUUACUGGGUCAUUUCAUGUGAUAGGAACCUAAAUUUAAUGUGUGCUAUAUAAUUCUUCCUCUCCACUUCUACUUCAGUUCAGUUUGUACAAAUGACAUUGUCUAGCAGGGACUCAGAUUUGCAAAAGUACAUUUUUAAUGACAUUACAAAAAGAUUAGUACUGACAGGUUUUUAUAUAUAUAUUUCCUAUGUGGAGCCAACUCUUCCAGCCCAUUUCCUUCAGUGAUAUCUGGAGAGGAUCUGAUAAGCUUUAUACUGCUUUUCAGAGGUCAAAGGGCAUUGUCUUCCCCUUCACUCCAGCUGCCAACAACAAAGUCAGACAUAUGUUAUCACCAUCACACAGGAAGCUGUGAGCCUGCUUGUGCUCCACAAAGUACAAAUACAGGAAGAGCGUCAGGUUAGUUAAAAGCUGAGGGAGCUCUGCUAAGGUAGUAUAUAGCUAAUAAUACUAUAACCCAAUAAUAGUAUUCUAUAUGCUGUGUAUGUUUCAGUGUCAGGGAAGGGUGGUUCUUUAUUGUUGAUUGGUUCAUAUUACUGUAGCCUAAGUACAAGUAUCCAUGUAAACCCUUUUACAGGUGGUAUCAUCUCCUGAGGUGGGGCUGCAUAAUGUUAAAAGAAUAAUUAGUUAUCCAGUAAAGAGCAAAGCUGUAGUGGGAUUAAGUAAAAAUGAAUUGAACAUGAAGUUCAUUUGACCAGAUACAAUUUCAAACUGCCAGUUAACAAAGAGGAUGUGAGUUGCCUUAAAUUUCUUCUAGAUUCCCUCAUUUUAACAUACAGUAUGCUGUAUAUCAAGAUUUAAAUGAUGUACAAUACAUUAGCAAGCUGACACAGUGAAAUGCUGUGGGUCAUGACCUCUUAGUUUGGUAAAAGUGGGCUUUCCACUUCUCUAUACUUUUGGAAUGUGAAAUCAGCUUAAUAGGAACUUUAUGUUUUCAGCACUGAUAGCCCGUAUUUUGGGACCAUGUUCAUUAGUGCUAAAUUUGGAUCUAUUUGCAGCUUGUCUUUGCUUCCGGUACAUUGUUUACUGCUGCAGGAAAGUCUUCCCAAUACAUUACACUAGUUCCUAUCCUCUGGCUUUUGCCUAGCAUGGGACAAAUCAGGCCAGGCACACUGAGUUCCAUCUCCUGCCUCUAAGGACCAGUUGAAACUCUACUACAAUUUAGUGCUACUACCUGUAAGUUCUGGGUCAUACCAUAAAUAACACAUGCAGAUAUCUGUAGGAAUAGGGGACUGCAGAAGUAGAGUUAAGCCCAUUCCUUGCCUGUGUCUUCAGGGAAGUGAGCAAUGGAGUCUUUGUUCUAGUGACAGUGGCAGUGAGUGCAGCACUGCAUCAGUUAACUGUCUUUGUCCCUUCUCUACUUGUUGUAUUUUUGUUUUCACACCUUCAGUGGCUGUGCCAAGAGCUUAAUAUACUUUUUAAAGGGCCUCAAAAGGGUUUGCUUCCUCUGUCAGGAUCACUAGAUUACUUUCAAUGUGAAACCAGCACUUGAGCUUUAGCCAUCCAGAAGUACAGACCCGGCAUACAGUGCUCGUGUCCUACCACUUUGGAGUGUUGUGUGGUUGGAAAAAGUAACCAGAUAUGAAAGUCUUGUGAACAUGUGUGACAGAUGAGUAAAUAAGGACCAUGUAAUGACUUAAACCCACACUUCUGAGUUCCUAGUCUCGGCCUGUAUGUCUGACAGGGGACACCAAGAACUAGAAAUGGUGGGUUCACAGCAGCUGAAGCUCAGAGACCAUGGUAAAGCUUUUCAUCUAAUCCAAGGGAUGGCACCAGUUGGGGUCAGAGAUUGUGCCUAAAGACUGCUCACAUUAAGCACUAUUUUAGGUCACUCCCCUGAGAUGGAGAAUAAGGGUAGCAAUUAUACUUGAGCUUUCAGUCAGGGCCUAUGAGGAGCAGUCCCUCAUGGCAAGUAACUGUUACUACUCUUUUGUGUAGAGUUGCUACUGUAAGUAUAUGAACAGCUGGCCUCUGCUCGCCAUCCUGCUAUGUUGACCCUGCCAGCCUCUUCCGUUUUACUUGUGAGUGAAAGUGCUUGAACAAUUUCAUAUGAUCUUAUAUUAUGGUCUGUAUUAUUACUGCAGACUUCAUUUGUGCAUGUGUAAAUGUUUUUACAAUACCUCAGAAAAGUUCGUCAGGAUUUUGCUGUGGGGAUAGAAAAGGGAGAAGUGAAUUAUUAACAGUAAAACAUUAUCUACCAACUGGAAAAGAGAUGUGUGACCACAUGACAUGACAGAGCUCAUGCUUGUGUAGAGAGAAUGAGGGGAUAUGUACCUGUAGUAGUGACAAGCAGUGCUAAAGGUAGUAACAAGGGCAAGUAACAGAAUGGGAGAUUUAAUGAAAAAUAAAAUGAGAGGGUUUUAGCCAUGUGUGGCCACAUCAUUACAGAUCUUCUUUGAGCUUGGCUAAAAUCCUUUCCUUGAUUUCAGACAGAGAUGUUCAUCGCUACGACAAUCCGUAAGUCAUACUUGAAAUCGCUUCUUCUUGUUAGCUAAAAUCCAAACGCAGAAAAAGCUAUGCUCACUGGCAGGUUAAAACAUAAAAUAUGUCAGUGAGGAAAUGCCCAGAAUUAGACAUAAGGUGAAACUAAAGAAAGAAGGGGUGAGGCUGAGGGAGACCUUUUAUUCAGCUGGCAUUUAAACUGCUUGUUCAGAGCAGAUGGCCCACUCAGAGAAGAGGUGCUUGGAGGGAGUAUACUAGUGGUUCUACAGGAAAUAUAAGUGGUAUUAUUUUAAUUCUGCAAUCUUUGAAAUUUUUGAUCAGCAAAAAAUAAUUCCAUCUAAAUUAUUUUAUUCCAGUCUCACUAUCUUUCUAGAAGGAAUUUAGUUUCGAUGGAAGCUGCUUCGAAACUGCACAGUAUCACAUUGUGAAACUGUGCUUGUGUUCUGAUCAUUUCUCACAAGAGGGUGUUGGAGUUCUUUGCAAGUUAAAAAAGCUGAUGUUCUGCUUCAACUAUGGGAGGGUGGUUUUGUUUGAUGGUGGUGGGUUUUGGCUUGUUUGUUUUGCUUUUGUUUUUUCUGAGGAUAAAAGAAGUUGUUUUCAUUAUGGGCUUAUUGUUGGAUUGUACUGUUUUUAAAUAACAGACUAUAAAAUCAUUGAAAAGCUUAAGUCAAAACAACAGGCAGCUAGUAAGAAAACAACUAUUUCUUACUGCUUUUUUAUUUUGUGCUUCAAUGGCACAUACAUAAUUGUAAAGGUUGUGAUAUAAAAAGCAUUCUUGGGCAUGGUCAUACUGUUAAGCAGUGAAAUUCAUAGGAGCUGGGAGGAAAUCUCCGUGAGAAAUGUAUUUUCUUUGGGGAACCAUCCCAAGGUGAAUCCAAGUCAUCAGCUAACCAGGCUAAACUAAAUGAAAUAAUGGUGCUUUGUCUGCCUGAGACACUCUCCCUGUUUAUGCAGGCAUUUGUAGGGUGCCAACAUCUUGUUAGAGGCUCUCCUCAUGUUUUGUGGUAGAGUGACAAGUAUCAUUGCCCUGUUUCAGAAUCCUCACUGUGAACAGAGAGCUCUAGGUCCAUUUUUUUUUUUUUUUUUUUUUCUGGAUGAUCUCUGAAGAAUCUGGCAGGUUAGAGGAUUCUAUACAUCCAUGGCUCAUUCGUUCAUUUCUAGGCAUACAGAUCCUGGAGGAGGAGUGCGUUCUUGGAAAUGCUUGGGAAAAAGCAUAGACUGUUAUGAAAAUGGCUGCGUCUCCACUUCUCAUAAUGAAAUAGGGUGAUGCGACUGAGGAGUUGGUGUAUUUUACAUUUGGUGAAUAUAAAAGAUUUUGAAAGGUUUAUUCCUAGCUUUAGAGAAUAAAAGAUAUGUCUUAGAUGGUAAAUGACUACAAAGACUGUUUCGAUCCGUAGCGAUUAUUAUGAUGCAAGAAAUAAUAAUGCAGAAAUCCUGUUUCUGUCUGUGGGGAAAUCUAAACCUCCUUGUUCUUUCUAAUUCUAGGAAGAACUUAGUCAUUUAUCUUUGAAGUAUUUGUUUGUAUGCCCUUAAUUCUUAGAAAAACUCUUUUGCUUGUAUCUGCAUUAGCCAUGUUCUGUGUUUGUCGUGUUGUAUAGUUUGUAUUAACUGCCUGUAAGCAUCAGGAGGGUUGGACCUUUCUCCAGAAAAUCUCACCAUACAGCAAUAAACUGAUUUCAUAUCUUACACAUCUGGCAGCAACUCAAGAUUUUUAAAACAUCGGCAAUGCUCUUCGAAGAUCUCUGUACACAACUGAGUGGUUUUGCAGGGCUGUGGCAGUGGCUUUUUCAUUUUAUGCUUUUAUGUUUCUGGUCUCUGAGAAUAUUUGUUACAUGGGUUUUCUUCGAAUUAAAGUUGUAGAAUAAAAAAAAAUGCAGUAUUUUUAGGAAAGAGACGGUUUUCAAUGUAACAGCACAUAGACUUUGAGAAAUACUAUUUUAAUGAAUGCAAAGUCAGGAAGAGUAAUUUUUAAACAUUGUUAAAACAUAUAAAAACAGAUAAUCAGAAGACUAUAGACAUCCCUUGUGAGGAACAGCAUUAUGGAGGCUCCUUUUUUAUUCCUGGAAAGGAACACAGCUUUUUCCUUUCAGCUUUGUUUAGUUUACUUUGAUAUUCUGUUGAAAAUCUCAACCAAAAAAGGAAAAAAAAGAGGAAAAAAAAUGGGAAAAAGAAAAGAAAAAAUCUCUUGGGCAUUGCACUACUGAAACAAAUAGCUUACACAUAAGUGGGUUUUGUCUAAGAAUUAUUGAAGGAUUAAAAAGAGAUUAUAUCCUCACCCUUUUCGCUGUUGUUAUUGAGUACAGCUGAGUUCACAAAUCAAAUGUAGGGCAUCAUAAAAAAUUGCUAAAAUGUAAGCUACAUUUUGCUUUGUCUUUACUCUUGGGAACUUUGAACAAAGGUCAAUACAAGUUUCAUUACCCCUUCUAUUUGCAUUUUCCCACACUUUUCUUUUUCCCACACUUGAAUGUACCUAUAUAGUGCUUGCUUAUGACCAUCAUAGUGUUUUAUAUUUAAAAUGUGUCACAUAUUUUCAAACCCAAAUAUGAUGCAAAGUGAGGAGUCUGUGUCUCUUUUCUCUUGUUUUCAAGUCAGAAUUACGUUUUCUUACAUUUGCAAUUGAUUCUCCACUGAAGAAGUGAUUCUUCAGUGGAGAAUCAGUUGUUUCUUCAGUGGAAGAAACAUUUUCUUCAGCACUACUUUCUUUUGGCCGAGAUUUCAAAAUGUGAGGUUAGGCACUGUCUGUCUACUGUGAAUUGUAGACAGCAACACCAUUUACUUCCUCCUAGCUUGUUAUUUGUUCUGAUCUUCAUCCACAACUGAAAGAUGUGAUGAUGAGGAAAACCUUAUUAUUUUGGCGAGGUUUACUAUUUCUAAGAACAAGACACAUAGAGACAAAAGAAUUUUUUUUUUACUUGUUUUUUUUGAAACAUCAGGUAGAGUCUUUGGAUCUUACACUUCACUAAGUAAGAAAUUCCUAGUUCUUUGUUAUAUGUGUUAAAGUUUCAAAUUUAUACAGGUUUUAAAACCAGCUGGUAGUAGAGAAGGUUCUCGUAGGUCACAGUCUUCCCAUCAUAAACUCUUUGCAAUGUUCUUCAGCUGUUCAAAUAAUCAUACCUCUGCUUCUUUUCUUCCUGCUGUGAAUUAGCACAUAAGCCCAAACAAAUAGGUGUCGUACUGCAUUACCAAACAGAAUAGCAUUUGGUUUAGAAGACCCUUCUACUGAUGUUGUUAGUUUUACUUUACGAUACCAAGUCUUAAAGAUCUUACAAGAAUGAAAGUUAACAAGGAAACUUGCUAUAUUUGUAUAUAUUUUAAGACAAACAUAUAUUUGACCAAUAUAAUUAUUUCUCUAUUGACCCUGCUUUGAGCAGUAGGGUAACCUACACAACUGUAAGUCCCUUCCAGUCUGAAUGACUUUAUUAUCCUGUGUUGGAGACAGUUACUCUAUGAUGUGAAUAAUCUGUUGAUCCUAGACAGGUAAGUUGAACAAAAAAAACCACAUGGGCCCAGCAGCUGUUGCUCUUAUUAUGUAGUUAUUGUUUUCAUGUUGCCUUUUGGUGGUCUGUAUACAGGCAGAACUCCUCUUGCAUAAUGGAAUCCUGUUAAUCUCAGGUGAAAUUUGUGUACAAUCUGAGCAGUGAAUCAAAUAGAGGGAUAAUGGCACCAUGAAGGGUUCAGUUCUGGAAUACCGAAAUCCAAUGAAUUUGCAUUGCCACUGAAGCAAUGUUAUCCCAUGAUCUUGAGUAGCCUGUGGUAAGAACAAUCCAAACUGGUUUGGAAUAUAAUAUUAAUACCACAUAUAAUAUGAAUAGCACAGACUAUACUGUGUAUUUGAGAAAGCCCAUUUACAAACUGCACAGAUAAAGACUUGGUUUUUCUGAGAUGUACAGAACUAGCAGCUAACUCAAUUUCUAGCUAAACUUAUUUUUGACCCAUUGUAAAUAAUGGGUAUUCUCUCAAACAAGACAUAAGACAAAACACAGGAAGUUUUGUUGUAUCCUGUUCUGUUAAAUAAACUUAUUUCUUCAUUUUCAGCACAGCUAAGAUGCCAUUAUAAUGCCUAUAAUACUUUUCCUAAAUAAAAAUACAUUCAGAAGGAAGGGUGAAAAUAAUCUCUGUAAUAUAUUUUAAUUCUAAAAUGAAUAAAGAAAAAACAGCAAGCAAAGCUCAUUAUGGUUAGUCUAAAGCUUUUUAGAUUACUGUUCUUCAGACAUCAAAAAGUAGUGAAAAAACAGGUUAAUUUUCUCUGUGAAAAAUGGCGUGGAAAUUGGAUACUUCAGAAAUUUUAGGGGUGCAAAAGAAAUCAGUUGAGACUUCUCUGCCAAAAGUUCAGUAUUAAUGGUAAUAAAAAAUAAUAUUUUCUGAAGAAGAGCACUUGAGAAAAAUUUUCUGACCAGCUUCAGUUCCAGUUAUUUUAUUUGAUAAUACCUGUACUACUGCAAAAUGGUUCUCUUGGUAAAGAACAGGACAUUCAAGUGCAGUUUGUCUGCUGGCAUUUAUUAGCUGUGGGAAGGUUACCUUUCCAGUGGCAUGAAGGUUGUAAGCCUUGUGGUUUCUAUAAUUAGGUGUACCUUCACUUGCUCUUUUUUGAAGUAGUUAUACAAGUUUUAUCUCCACUAUUCUGUUCCCAUGGGAAGUUUUGUUUAUCAGCCUCAUCAGAUGCCUUGUUAUGAAAUCCCAUACCCAACUCUUCACUAAGUUAGCUGAUUAUUUUGUAUCAAAUAUCACCAUCUGUUCUUAUUAUCUGACAAAAAUACAGAUGAUCAGCAUUGGUGUGAGUUUAAAGUUCAGAUGUUAGAUACACUGAAAUAAACCAUAUCUUCCUUCCUACCAUAGAAUUUGAAUGAGAAAAGGAUUAGAGGUGCUGCUUCGUGUAGUUUGUUCCUGUUUCAUUGCAGAGACAUAGCCUCAGAAUGUGUGAAGCAAAUGUCUUUCUUCUGAAUGCAGACAGACUUGAGUGCUGUGAUUAUUUAUAUUUGAUCUAUAGACUAGUUUGCUUUCUGCAAAUAUUCGGUAUAUGGAAUCUGUCGGGCAUAGCAAUAAUGGAGUUAAAAUCUGGGAGAGGAGCCUGUGGUGCUGCUGAGAUUCACUCUUAGUAGCAGCUGAGCUUUGUGUGGUGCCAUAAAUCAGGUAGCCAUAAAAAGAAAAAUCGUUACUCGAUUCAGAAGGAAGUGGAAUAUGAUAAACUCCUGUUUACAGCCUGAGUGACUUCCUUUCAAGCCCUUCUCCUUUAGGAAACAGAAAAAUCACCCUAAGCUAUUUGACAAAUUAAUGUCUACUGGAUAUGUUCAAUACGUAUUCAUUCAUGUUGUGAUAGAGCGUAGGCACUUUAAUUGGGGACUAUGGGGCUCAUGAUGCUGGGCACUGUCCAAAUGCAUGUGAAAAGCCUGGGCAUAGCUUAUGCCAUGCCGGGGAGCACACACUACAUGUGUCUGGCUCUGCAUUAGAAAGUUCAUGAUCUACAUGCAAGAGAGUUGAAAACAGACAGAUAGGAACUGAUGAGAAAUUAACUAAGUGGUCAAAAUGACAGAUCAAAAAACCCUGUAGAAGUCAAUAUAUGGAAGCUUGCUCUUGAACCUUAGUACCUUUUAUCCCAUUUUCCCAGGAACAGAAAACAGAAAACUGUUAAGCUUCAGCAUUUCAAUAAAACAAAAACUUCCUUUAAAAUCCAGUCACUUAAACAGUUUCUCAUGGCCAGCUAUCAAUAAGCUACAUGACUUGAUGUGAUUUCUUACCAGUUUAGUGUUCUCUGUUCAACUACAGCAUGAGGGAAUAUGAAGAAAUGAGCAGAGUUUUUCUUGAGUUUGCUGCUUAGCCUUCAAAUCGUGAAGUCGGAUCUCUGCCUGAUAGUAUGAAAGGAUGUGAGAAAUGUUCAGUGUUUUAAUCUAUUUACUGUCUACAGAGAAUACAGUUUUUCAGUCCACCCGAACUGCUAUGCCUGCCUCUGUAAAUUAUGUGAUUCUGACUAAAAUAAACACAUCAAAUUUUCCUUUAUUAGUAGUGCUCAAUGUUGGAUGUGAUCAUAAAAGAUGUCUUCAUUUGUAGCUUGGAUUUUAGAAAUCCCCAUAGACCAAUUGAGGAACUGUAAAGAGACCAACUCAAAAUGUCCUGGGAGAAUUUCCAAAAAAAGCAAAACAGCAAGAAAUAGACAUAAAAAUAACAUCUUUAAUUUUCUCUGCCCUGAAUUCUUAGAACACAACUACUGUUUCAACUUGCUUGCAAAAUCACAUUACUUUGAUGUUUUGCAGCUACUGUAGGCUGAGAAAUAUUUAAGGCUGUAGUUACUGAUUUUCUCUGUUCAUGCCUCUUCAGCCUGUCCGCCUAGCCUGGCAGUAUUGAAGAAGAGACUAGACAAUGUCCUCAGACACAUGGUGUGAACUGUGGGGUUGUCCUGUGCAGGGACAGGAGUUGGACUUGAUGAUCCUUGUAGGUCCCUUCCAACUCGGGACAUUCUAUGAUUCUGUAACUCUUAAUAUUGAGGACCUCUGUCGACCUUAUGUAGAGAACAGGCCUGACAACUGAGAAAAGAAAUACCUUCAGAGAGCUGUAGUCUCUGCUCUCUUUCUUUUCCCUCCAGUUCUGAAGAGCACUGUGACCUGUGCAGAUUGGACUGGACGGGGCUUGGUGGUUGUCCCUCUGGUGCUGCCAUAACUUUUGCUCUUGUCUGGUCACAGAUCAAGGUAGCAUGAGAUACCCAGUAUAGUAAAAUAAGUAGGUCCUAUAGCUCCUUUCUUUACCAGAUAGAGUUAAUUCACUUUUACUGAUGGAAAUGUGGGUCUGUGGUGGAAUUUUGCUAGGUCACUCUUAUGAUUCUGUGGUCCUGGUGAUUUUUUUUAUUAUUAUUCAGAAAGUUAGGAUUUAAUAUCGGACUUCAAAACUUCCUAAUGUUCCACCUGUUAAAAAUAAGUCAUUCUGUUUCAUUUAGUGGGACUGUUUUUGUUAUUUACAGCUUGGUGUGCACUUAUGUGAUUUACUGAAGACUAGACAAUGUAUUUUAGAAUAUUGCCUAAUGCAUCUUUAUUGUAAUGUUGUUGCAGGUGAAUAUAUGUGGAUAGAGAAUAGGGAAUUACAGAUGCCUGUAAUGAGUAUUUAGAAGAUUAACCUUACUAAAAUUAUUUUCCUUGACUGUGUGUGAUAUUCUUAUGCUAUUGCCCACUCCCUUCCAAAAGGAUUGUCACAGUGCUGCUUAUCUUGUUUUUGGCUUUGCUGGUCAUUCUUCUUGUGUAGUAAGGAGGUGGUUCUCUUUAUCUUGUUGGAGAACUUUGCUUACUUGAAUGCUACAUGUGUUCACUGAGCUGUCUUUGCCUAUUUAGUGAUCCGGUUGAUCACACACUUGUAUAAAAUUUUUGUACAUUAUGUCCAGUUACACCAUCACAGUAUUAGAAAAUUCUUAGAAUCUGUUGUUAGUUACACUAUUUUAGUAUACUGAUAUUUGGGUCCAAGGCAAGUGAAUAUUAAUUAUAUCCUGGUUAGCAGAGUUACGAUUUAUGGAUGUUAAAAGGCCUCUAUUUUGCCUACAGUGCAAAUUUAAGUGAAGAUCAAUAACCAUUUCUGAUAAGAUAGAAAACUUGCUGCAAGUUUAAAAUAAAUUAUAUAACAGAUGAGAGCCAUAUUAAUAAAUUAUUAUUAGGUUCAGUUUAAUCUCUCUCCUGGAAACAUGAAGUAAAUAGUAUUACAGACUAAUUUUUUUAGGUUUGUCCCCUCACUAGUAUUCAUUUUUUUUAUAAGACGACUGUGAUGCCUGGCGUAAUACACAAUGCAAAACUGGAAUCUGGGAUACAGUCAUGGGAGACACUUCAGAAGUUCUUUUCAGACUAACUAUUCAUAUGACCAAGCCCUGCAACCAUUUAGACGAAGGUACUUGAAUCUCAUCCAGUGAAAGGCAAAUCUAGAUGUUGCUCCCAUCUGUCUGUGGCACAUUUUCCUUCCCUUCCUUCCCUUCCUUCCCUUCCUUCCCUUCCUUCCCUUCCUUCCCUUCCUUCCCUUCCUUCCCAUUUUUCUGGAGGAAACAUCACACUCUUGCACCAGCACUUGAUUCUCUCAGUGACUGUCUUCUCCCCCCAGCAACUACAGCUGGUGGCAACUGUUUGUGUUAAGCUACAGCAGACACAAGAGGAGGCUUUUGACUUUUGGAAGUGCUUUCAUUGCUCAAGCAGCUGUUCCUGAUGUUCCCUGAGGAAGAGUCAGAAAUCUGGAUGAAAGCCAGUUGCACCACAUGAAUGUGGGUGUCUUUCACAUAAAGUUAUUGCAUUAUACUUUCUAAGAGGUUCAAGGAACUUUUAAAGCUGAUUUAAGAAAAGGCUAUUGAUUGUCACACAUGAACAUAAAGUAAUUUUUAAGCUGCUAUUUUUUUCAUCGGUUCUGCAUGUGCACCUUUUUUAAACUAUUUUUUGACACAACUGCAAAACCAUUAAGUUCUAAACAGAUGUUUUUCAUUAAUCCUUUUCUUCAUAAUGCCACAUUUAAAUUAUAAUACUAGAUAUAGAAAUCUGUAAUAUGCUGAUUGCUAGCAGUUUUUCAUUCUAAUGUUUUAUCAUUAGACCACUAACAGGAAGAGCCGUCCACAAAGGGAAUGCAAGUGUCAUAAGAAUAUGCCAAUAUUCUAGAAUAAUAAGAAAAAAAAGAAAAUUCAAACAUCCACUUGUUAUUCUUGUUCAAGAGCUACUACAGCAGCUUAGAAGCUGCCUCGCAAUCAGGCAAACAAUAAUUCAGCUAGUUGAUUGGUGAGAAGUAUGGUGGAACUCUUUUCCACUGGCUUGUAUGAAUUUUCCUCAAAGCUAGCUCAUUCUACAAGGCGGGCAAAUUAUUUUUGUUUGGUUUUGUUUGUUUGUGUGUGUUUUUUUGCUUGUGUGGGGUUUUUAUGGAAUAAAUAACAUACUUCCAUGCUUUAAGAUUGUUGUUUAUAAUGGCCACUAGAUCUUAAGCACAAUUAGGUUUUGUAGCUAGCAUGUUUAUCUCCAGUGGACACAAGCAAAUGUAGUAUCUGUGCUGCUGGAAAGCCACUUGUGCCUGUCAGCACAUCUGUCCAGACAGAACAGAAAUGUUGAUAGCACACUUGCCUGCUCUUGUGUUCUCCCUAGGUUCACGCCUUUUUCUCUGUUGGUCCUCAGCAUAUGGAAGUAGAAAUUUUGAAGAUGGCUGAAUAGGUUUAUACUACUUGUGAAAACUGAUCAGUGAAGAAUUAUCUUUGACCUAAAUGACGGCCAUCUUCAUUUUGCUUUUUCACCAGCUGGAAAUACUGUAAGCCCCUUAUAAUUAAAAACAACCUGAAUUGCCAUGGAGACCAAAAUAAUAGGAGUACUUUUUGUAGACCAAGUAAGAAAUAAGCCAGACUGGGAAUGUCAAGUUCCAAUGGACUGAAUGGGAAUGCAGAAACCUUCCUUUUAAGAAACACCAGAAUUGAUUGCAGUGUUUAGAUGUCUGACUGCUUUGUAUGAGAGUCAGCAUACUCAUUCCAUUGAAGUAAAAGAUAAGCCUGGAAUGAAAAUACCACCUUUUUUUUGUGGAGUCUGAGGCAGAAGGUAGACUAAACACAGCUUUACCUGUGAACAUACUGUAUGGUGCACUAAAAGAACAAUGACUGGCUAACCAAAGACUACGGGAGAAAAUAGUCUGAAGACAGGAUCCUCCUCUACUUCUCCAAGAAAAUAAAUCAAAACUUUGUGAAAAAAAUUCAUAAACGCCCUUGUACAUGGAAACUCAAUUUCUGACCUCCUACCUGGAUUGCUCCCAAAUAGGGCAGAGUGUCUUGGAGACAGGAAAGGUAAGCAGUCUUGUUUAGAAAGGAAAGGAUUGUUGCAAGAAAAUUGGACUUGUACUUUGCCACAGCCACAAACUACACAGUUUUGGAAGAGGAACUAAUGAUGUUAUUGCUACAGAAGACCAACUGCAACAGUCUUCAUGCGACAAUCCUGUUUGGUUUUGAUGUGUCUGUCUUCAGCUUCUGUAAUUUUUUCCUUCGUCAUUGAGUUUUCACAACGGGAAGAGUCAGCUCUAUGAUACCUGUCUCGGUUUGAGAUUUCAUAAAAAAUGCAUCCAGCGUGUUCUAGGCAUUUCUGAGGAGCUGGAAAAUGUGCUGAAUUCCAGAAGAAUUUCAAAGGUGUCCACUAAGUUUGAAAUCUCUCCAGAGAUGACCGCAAGUAUUGAUGAAACAUAUGUAAAGAAGUCUCCUGGGAUAUACACAACUCAUGCAAUGGGAUAUUGAGCUGCUGCUGUAAAAGUUAAAGAGCUGAAGAAAUCAAACCAGCCAGCAUUCAAAGGCAUUUUCGUCAGAUACCCUGACAGUCAGAUUAGUCAUCUGAGUCCUGUUCUCCCUUCAUCUAUGCUGGCUCCCAGUUGGUUUAGUAUUGGACAUCUAUUUCUGUUUGAAUUCUGAAGAAUGCAUUGGGAAUUGUCAGAUGAUGGAAGAUCACUCUCAGAUGCCCUGAAUAAAUGGAAAAAAAGUGUGGGUUUGGAGCUUUCUGAAAUACAGAGCUUCCAAAUAGCUGAGGUCCUCCAUCAUUCUCUGUUCUAAGCAAAACCAUAAUCCAUCAAGUGGAAAAAGGCUAUGUUCCAACAGCAUCCCUGGUUAAACCACUUCAGUAAGCCACUUUCAGCUUUUUCACAUGGACAGUUUCACAGAAAUAAAAUCUCAAGCUGAAAUCACAACUAUGCAGACUGCAUCUUCAACAUGUGAGCACUCAUUGUAAGCAAUCACAAAACUAAUACACACACAGGUGUGUAUAUAUGUGUAUAUAUGCAUCCCGUAACCCUCCAGCCUAAGGAUGUGGGGGGCAAUUACCCGUAUUGUCAUCUCUGGUGCUCAGCCAGUCCCGUCACCGUGCCCGAGGUUCACAGAGGCAAGAUGCUGCUGCUUCAGGGACCGCUAUGGAAGGGAGAGACCCAGAGUCUGCCCCUCUUACCUCUGCUCCCAGGAAAUUCAUUCUGACAUCCAGGAAGACAAGACAAACCAAAAUAUAACGUUUUAGAAUGCAGCAAUCAAUCUUCAUUAACACAGAUGUUUAUCACAGUACAAUCUUCAAUAACUCUAAGUAGGUAAGUAAUAUUAAAAAGAUAAUUGUAUAUAUGACCAUAGCUUUUACAGUACUAUUUAUAAUGCUAGUUAUGUCCUCACUGAUACUUGCUGGCUAUUCAGAAAACAGGGUCACCUGCAAAAGAAACUGGAAAACAGACUCUGAAAAUUUGGCCAAAUUCAGAAUUUAAAAAAGUACAAACUGGUUAUCUGGGAUCCUUGACACCCUUGUGGUACCUAAUUUUCAGAAACUGCUGAGCACCCAUGAUCUUUUAACUACAUCUCAGCUGUGUCUGCAGUGGGACAGCCAGCGACUCAGGUACCAAGUCACGUAUCUGAAUGUGCCAAUACAUUGAAGCUGAGGACAAAGUCCACACUUGCACGUAGUGUAAAUGCUGUUGUUCAUUGUCUGAAAUGACCAGGUUUGGCUUUUAGUUUUGAUACUGAUAUUACUUGAGUUCUUCAGCUACAGCUAUUCUGUAUUUGCUUAGUGAACAAUACAGGUCAAAUGGAACUGCUAGAAAAAUAAACCCUUGGCCAUCUCUAACUCAGUUCUGACCCUCCGCCCUAGACAUGGCGAGACUUCUCCAAAAACAAACAUUCAUUCCUGAAUAAACACCUUUGAGAUGAGGAACAAUGAAUAAUUACUUCUUAAUGUCUUUUUUAUAAUAGGAGACUAUUUUCUCUAUACAAAGGAGGAGUCCCUUCCUGACUCCAGCAAUGCAUAAUCUCUCUUUCAGCAAAGAUAGAGAUGCAUACAAUUUCCUACAUUAACAUUUCUAAGGCUGUUAAAACACUACAGACAAAGAAGAGGGGUGUGUCAUCAUAGUUCAAAGUCACCAGCUCAGAGAAGCAAAGGGACAGAUGUUCGAAUUCUCAGGAGAACGAGUAAGAGAUUGCACUGGCCUGAAAACACAGAACGUGAAAUUGCAUACC